Molecule: ribosomal RNA, 465 nt
Filed under: Vreelandella stevensii
Lineage: Bacteria; Pseudomonadati; Pseudomonadota; Gammaproteobacteria; Oceanospirillales; Halomonadaceae
Description: partial 16S ribosomal RNA
Rfam family: Bacterial small subunit ribosomal RNA
Source: RNAcentral
CCUACGGGAGGCUGCAGUGGGGAAUAUUGGACAAUGGGGGGAACCCUGAUCCAGCCAUGCCGCGUGUGUGAAGAAGGCCCUCGGGUUGCAAAGCACUUUCAGUGAGGAAGAACGCCUGGUGGUUAAUACCCAUCAGGAAAGACAUCACUCACAGAAGAAGCACCGGCUAACUCCGUGCCAGCAGCCGCGGUAAUACGGAGGGUGCGAGCGUUAAUCGGAAUUACUGGGCGUAAAGCGCGCGUAGGUGGCUUGAUAAGCCGGUUGUGAAAGCCCCGGGCUCAACCUGGGAACGGCAUCCGGAACUGUCAAGCUAGAGUGCAGGAGAGGAAGGUAGAAUUCCCGGUGUAGCGGUGAAAUGCGUAGAGAUCGGGAGGAAUACCAGUGGCGAAGGCGGCCUUCUGGACUGACACUGACACUGAGGUGCGAAAGCGUGGGUAGCAAACAGGAUUAGAUACCCUUGUAGUC